RNAcentral lists this ribosomal RNA (339 nucleotides) under uncultured bacterium. RNAcentral's name for it is "bacterial SSU rRNA". It matches the Rfam family "Bacterial small subunit ribosomal RNA", at positions 28 to 353 of the family's 1533-position model. The record is from RNAcentral.
GAUGAACGCUGGCGGCGUGCUUAACACAUGCAAGUCGAACGGGAAACAUUUUAUUGAAGCUUCGGCAGAUUUUAGUUUGUUUCUAGUGGCGGACGGGUGAGUAACGCGUGGGUAACCUGCCUCACACUGGGGGAUAACAGUCAGAAAUGACUGCUAAUACCGCAUAAGCGCACGAGACCGCAUGGUUUUGUGUAGAAAAAACUCCGGUGGUGUGAGAUGGACCCGCGUUGAUAGCAGUUGCAGGUAACGCCUACCAAAGCGACGAUCCAUAGCCGGCCUGAGAGGGUGAACGGCCACAUUGGGACUGAGACACGGCCCAGACUCCUACGGGAGGCAGCA